AGAGUUUGAUCCUGGCUCAGAAUCAACGCUGGCGGCGUGCCUAACACAUGCAAGUCGAACGAGAAAGGGGAGCAAUCCCUGAGUAAAGUGGCGACCGGGUGAGUAACACGUGACUAACCUACCUUCGAGUGGGGGAUAACCUCGGGAAACCGGGGCUAAUACCGCAUAAUGCCUUCGGGUUAAAGGAGCAAUUCGCUUGAAGAGGGGGUCGCGGCUGAUUAGCUAGUUGGCGGGGUAACGGCCCACCAAGGCGAUGAUCGGUAGCCGGCCUGAGAGGGCGCACGGCCACACUGGAACUGAAACACGGUCCAGACUCCUACGGGAGGCAGCAGUGGGGAAUUUUGCGCAAUGGGGGAAACCCUGACGCAGCAACGCCGCGUGGAGGAUGAAGUCCUUUGGGACGUAAACUCCUUUCGACCGGGACGAUUAUGACGGUACCGGUGGAAGAAGCCCCGGCUAACUUCGUGCCAGCAGCCGCGGUAAUACGAGGGGGGCGAGCGUUGUUCGGAAUUAUUGGGCGUAAAGGGCGCGUAGGCGGUGCGGUAAGUCACCUGUGAAACCUCUGGGCUUAACUCAGAGCCUGCAGGCGAAACUGCCGUGCUGGAGUGUGGGAGAGGUGCGUGGAAUUCCCGGUGUAGCGGUGAAAUGCGUAGAUAUCGUAAGGAAGACCGUGGCGAAGGCGGGUCUCUGGACAGUUCCUGACGCUGAGGCACGAAGGUCAGGGGAGCAAACGGGAUUAGAUACCCUAGUAGUCC
Molecule: ribosomal RNA, 755 nt
Filed under: uncultured bacterium
Lineage: Bacteria
Description: bacterial SSU rRNA
Rfam family: Bacterial small subunit ribosomal RNA
Source: RNAcentral